RNAcentral lists this unclassified non-coding RNA (418 nucleotides) under soil metagenome. Its description in RNAcentral is "partial contains 5.8S ribosomal RNA, internal transcribed spacer 2, and large subunit ribosomal RNA". The stretch from base 1 to 120 matches the Rfam family "5.8S ribosomal RNA", at positions 35 to 154 of the family's 154-position model. The record is from RNAcentral.
GAUGAAGAACGUAGCGAAAUGCGAUAAGUAAUGUGAAUUGCAGAAUUCAGUGAAUCAUCGAAUCUUUGAACGCAUCUUGCGCUCCUUGGUAUUCCUUGGAGCAUGCCUGUUUGAGUAUCAUGAGCAAAUCUCAAAGUCAAUUCCUUUUGUUAAUUCAAUUGGUUUUGCUUUGGACUUGGAGGUCUUGCAGAUUUCACAGUCUGCUCCUCUUAAAUGCAUUAGCUGGAUCUCAGUAAUUAUGCUUGGUUCCACUCGGCGUGAUAAGUAUCACUCGCUGAGGACACUGUUAAAAAGGUGGCCAGGAAAAUACUGAUUGAACCGCUUCUAACGGUCUAUUAAGUUAGACAAUUACCCUCAAGUUUGAUCUCAAAUCAGGUAGGACUACCCGCUGAACUUAAGCAUAUCAAUAAGCGGAGGA